RNAcentral lists this ribosomal RNA (256 nucleotides) under uncultured bacterium. RNAcentral's name for it is "partial 16S ribosomal RNA". It matches the Rfam family "Bacterial small subunit ribosomal RNA", at positions 96 to 353 of the family's 1533-position model. The record is from RNAcentral.
UGGCGGACGGGUGAGUAAUGUCUGGGAAACUGCCUGAUGGAGGGGGAUAACUACUGGAAACGGUAGCUAAUACCGCAUAACGUCGCAAGACCAAAGAGGGGGACCUUCGGGCCUCUUGCCAUCGGAUGUGCCCAGAUGGGAUUAGCUAGUAGGUGGGGUAACGGCUCACCUAGGCGACGAUCCCCAGCUGGUCUGAGAGGAUGACCAGCCACACUGGAACUGAGACACGGUCCAGACUCCUACGGGAGGCAGCAUG